Molecule: ribosomal RNA, 800 nt
Filed under: uncultured bacterium
Lineage: Bacteria
Description: bacterial SSU rRNA
Rfam family: Bacterial small subunit ribosomal RNA
Source: RNAcentral
AGAGUUUGAUCAUGGCUCAGGACGAACGCUGGCGGCACGCCUAACACAUGCAAGUCGAACGGUGAUUGAUUAGCUUGCUAAUGAAUCAUAGUGGCGGACGGGUGAGUAACACGUGAGUAACCUGCCUCUAAGCGGGGAAUAGCUUCUGGAAACGGAUGGUAAUGCCCUAUAAUAUAAUAUUACCGCAUGGUAGGAUUAUCAAAGAUUGUAUCGCUUAGAGAUGGACUCGCGUCUGAUUAGCUGGUUGGUGAGGUAACGGCUCACCAAGGCGACGAUCAGUAGCCGGACUGAGAGGUUGAACGGCCACAUUGGGACUGAGACACGGCCCAGACUCCUACGGGAGGCAGCAGUGAGGGAUAUUGCACAAUGGGGGGAACCCUGAUGCAGCGAUGCCGCGUGGAGGAAGAAUGUCUUCGGAUUGUAAACUCCUUUUGUCAGGGACGAUAAUGACGGUACCUGAAGAAAAAGCUCCGGCUAACUACGUGCCAGCAGCCGCGGUAAUACGUAGGGAGCGAGCGUUGUCCGGAAUUACUGGGUGUAAAGGGAGCGCAGGCGGGAUUGCAAGUCAGAUGUGAAAAGUACGGGCUCAACCUGUAAGGUGCAUUUGAAACUGUAGUUCUUGAGUGAAGUAGAGGUAAGCGGAAUUCCUAGUGUAGCGGUGAAAUGCGUAGAUAUUAGGAGGAACAUCGGUGGCGAAGGCGGCUUACUGGGCUUUUACUGACGCUGAGGCUCGAAAGCGUGGGAGCAAACAGGAUUAGAUACCCUGGUAGUCCACGCUGUAACGAUGAUGACUAGGUGUG